UUGAUUACGUCCCUGCCCUUUGUACACACCGCCCGUCGCUGCCCGGGACUGAGCCAUUUCGAGAAACUUGGGGACCGCUGAUUUGCAGUCUUUCGGGCCUGCUUAUUGGUGGGAACCAAUUUAAUCGCAGUGGCUUGAACCGGGCAAAAGUCGUAACAAGGUAGCUGUAGGUGAACCUGCUGCUGGAUCAUUACAUUCGUACCAAAAUGUAUGGUCAAACUUGUUUUUUGUUAUGGAGCACUCCUCAUCAGAUGUGUGCGAUGAGUUUUGUGUGAGUGCGAGUUGUAUGUGCACAGUUGUGUGCCGGCACAUACGGCGACUUUCCGCUUAACCGCACAAGUGAGCUGUGUGGUUCCAUCGGUGUUUUGAUGGCUUUUGCGAUGGAGCGGUCAAGAAAACGGCUUCUGCUGGUGUCUAUGUGUUGCUGAGCAGUCGUCUUCGUCCGUGGCUGUGAUGAGGCAAUGCGGUAGGGCCUGUAUACGGUGUGUGUAUGCAUGGCUUAAGACUUGAUGAGCCCAUUUUUGUGUGUGGGACGCCAGCACCCCAUUUUUUCAAAUAUUUUUUUAUGACAAGUGAAAAAUUCUAGUCUUAUCGGUGGAUCACUCGGCUCGUGGGUCGAUGAAGAACGCAGCUAACUGCGAUAAAUAGUGUGAACUGCAGAAACCUUGAACACAAAAGCUUCGAAUGCACAUUGCACCAUGGGAGUCUUAUCCCUUGGUACGCCUGGUUCAGGGUCGUAAACCCUAAAACGCAUAUAAAUGCGUAUAAAACAGAGAUAGCUUCACUAAUUGCCUGUGAAGUGUUGCUAUAAUUCAUGUAAAGUUGCACACUAUUGGUGUGAUGCGGGGUAGAGCACUCGACUUAGUAAUUGGGAUUACUAAAUUAUAGUCGUAGUGUUCAUCGGGGCAGACACCUCUCGAAUCGCAUCUGGCCAAACCAUGUGUGGGUGUUCGUGUGUAACUUUGAGUGUUUGUGUGUUUUUUUUCACUCACUACAUUGAAUUUUCGACCUGAACUCAGACGUGAAUACCCGCUGAACUUAAGCAUAUCAGUAAGCGGAGGAAAAGAAACUAACAAGGAUUCCCUUAGUAACGGCGAGUGAAA
RNAcentral lists this ribosomal RNA (1103 nucleotides) under Pratylenchus scribneri. RNAcentral's name for it is "eukaryotic LSU rRNA". The stretch from base 1 to 193 matches the Rfam family "Eukaryotic small subunit ribosomal RNA", at positions 1641 to 1831 of the family's 1831-position model. Lineage: Eukaryota; Metazoa; Nematoda; Chromadorea; Rhabditida; Pratylenchidae. The record is from RNAcentral.